Molecule: long non-coding RNA, 1757 nt
Filed under: Cottoperca gobio
Lineage: Eukaryota; Metazoa; Chordata; Actinopteri; Perciformes; Bovichtidae
Description: lncRNA (ENSCGOG00000000233.1)
Source: RNAcentral
UUAACUCCUUUAUAUCAUAUUCAGAAGUUAAUUCAAGUCUAGACCUGUUUUGUGCCAGCCAACAAUAUUAGGCAAUUUAGACAUUGAAUAAUUGUCUAUAAAAAUUCAGUCAAAGUUGUGCCAAUGCUAAGCAACAGCACGUUUCAGCUUCUCUGUCAGCUGCUGACUUGCACAUAAACAUGCACGCAAAACCGAAGAGCCUUUUUCAUUUUGUAGUAUGUUUACUAGUUUAAUUAAGACACCAUUUCAGUCCAAUAAGCAAUAAUUAAAUGUAUUAACAUCCUUUAUCCCUAUCUGCCCUCACACCAUUUACUCCAGUCCCUUUUUUUUCUCUGUGCCAACUGCUCCGGCUUUACAAAUAUGAUAAGACCAAAGCUGCAAGAACUCUUCCAGCACUUUGGUAAUGGUUAACCAGAUAAUUUAUUUAGGGGUGGGAGUAGACAACAGUCAGAAGUUACUCUUCUUUUCUGUGCUUGCCUGCAAAUGAGUUGAAUUCAUUCAUAGCAGGACUCAGAAUGGAGGAGACGUUGCAACAAGAGAAACAAGAGUUGGAAUAUAAACAUUUGAAUGAGGAACAAGGUGGGAUCCGUCGCCGAUUGCGGGACAGGGAUCUUCUGAGGAAGAGAAAAGCUGAAGCAGAAGCGAAGGAGACUAACGAGAUGGAGAGCCAGAGGAAAAGACCCAGGGCUGAGAGUGGCACAAAGAGGAGAGGGAGGCCCAAGAAGAGCGAGCCGGAGAAAUCUGUCACUCAGGAGGAGGAGGAGGCAGGACCUCGGGAUGCUCCUGCAGUAGCGGAGUUUCAGCUGCUGCCCCUCCCGCAGCCCCUCCCCAGGUGGAGACCCUCUUCACAGAGUCACAAGGCAAGGAGGGCCAUGAGCAGGUCUGGAUUGAGGACUUGGGCCCAGAGGAGGAGGCAGACAGCUCUCCAUCUCCAAACAAAAGAGCUGAUGACGAUUUGAUUGAGACACCGUCGAUUGACGUACCUGAACAAAACGAAAUGUUCUCAAUUCCAACCUUGUCCUCGACACCUCCUCCACAAAAAUAUUUCUCAGGGAAUUCAUUCUAAUUCUUUCACUUUUCAGACGCUGCCUCGGCUCAGAACGUAUCUGAGGAUUAUUUUGGUUAGUGUGCAGCCUGUUGGUGAAAGAGUACAAACAUAUUGAGCAUUGCUUAUUUGACAAAUGUAUGAAUUUAAACCAAACCUGUAUGCUUAUUUAUUCUGGUUUUUACUUUAUGAAGCUCACAAAUUGUAUUUUGUAUUUUGCAUUUAAACAGCUAUUUUUGCCUGAUUGUAUUUCAAAGCAUUGGUAUAAAUCACUGGUUAUGAUGUAUUUUGGAUUUACAUGAUAGCAUUUUGUAAAAGUUGUUUUCCACCUAAUAAAUUACACUGCUUACAAUCAUCUGACUGUGGUCAUUAUUAUUAUUAUUAUUAUUAUUAUUAUUAUUAUUAUUAUUAUUAUUAUUAUUAUUAUUAUUAUUAUUAUUAUUAUGUGAUAAAUAAAAGACCAAAAUUAACUAUCCUACAAAAUGGGUGAAGACAGAAAUACUGGUGUCUCUUAUGAGACUGUCAUACAUUUAUAUAUAUAUAUAUAUAUAUAUAUAUAUAUAUAUAUAUUUUUUUUUUUUUUUUUUUUUUUUUCCGAGGAUUCUGCUUUUGUAACAUCCAAUAUAUUCCUUUUCACUUAGAUGGAGAAAUUAAUUCCAAAUUUUACUCCGAUAAAAUACAAAUACUAACAAUACUCAAACUGAUGAAUGUA